This 498-nucleotide ribosomal RNA is filed under the name uncultured bacterium. Its description in RNAcentral is "partial 16S ribosomal RNA". It matches the Rfam family "Bacterial small subunit ribosomal RNA", at positions 28 to 523 of the family's 1533-position model. The record is from RNAcentral.
GAUGAACGCUAGCGGCAGGCCUAAUACAUGCAAGUCGAACGAUAUUAUCCAGCUUGCUGGAUAUGAAAGUGGCGCACGGGUGCGUAACGCGUAUGCAACCUACCUUAUUCAGGGGGAUAGCCCGAAGAAAUUCGGAUUAACACCGCAUAAAAUCACAGUUCAGCAUUGGACAAUGAUCAAAUAUUUAUAGGAAUAAGAUGGGCAUGCGUGUCAUUAGCUAGUUGGCGGGGUAACGGCCCACCAAGGCGACGAUGACUAGGGGAUCUGAGAGGAUGGCCCCCCACACUGGUACUGAGACACGGACCAGACUCCUACGGGAGGCAGCAGUAAGGAAUAUUGGUCAACGGGGGGAACUCUGAACCAGCCAUGCCGCGUGCAGGAAGACGGCCCUCUGGGUUGUAAACUGCUUUUAUUCGGGAAUAAACCUAUUUACGUGUAAAUAGCUGAAUGUACCGAAGGAAUAAGGAUCGGCUAACUCCGUGCCAGCAGCCGCCGUAA